This 58-nucleotide transfer RNA is filed under the name Salmo salar (Atlantic salmon). It matches the Rfam family "tRNA", at positions 8 to 63 of the family's 71-position model. Rfam says of the family: Transfer RNA (tRNA) molecules are approximately 80 nucleotides in length. Their secondary structure includes four short double-helical elements and three loops (D, anti-codon, and T loops). Lineage: Eukaryota; Metazoa; Chordata; Actinopteri; Salmoniformes; Salmonidae. The record is from Rfam by way of RNAcentral.
UAGCUCAGUUGGUAGAGCAUGGUGUUUGCAAUGCCAGCGUUGUGGGUUUGAUUCCCAU